This is a non-coding RNA of Macrostomum lignano, 2641 nucleotides long. The record is from Rfam. NCBI's taxonomy places the organism in Eukaryota, Metazoa, Platyhelminthes, Macrostomidae.
UGACCUCGGAUCAGACGUGAUUACCCGCUGAAUUUAAGCAUAUUAAUUAAAGCACGAGGAAAGAAACUAACAAGGAUUCCCCUAGUAAGGCGAGUGAACGGGAAGAGCCCAACACCGAAUCCCUUGGCGCAAGUCAACGGGAAAUGUGGUGUUAAGGUAGCCCUUCGUGUCAGUCUAGGCGCGUCUCAAGUCCACCUGAUUGUGGCUCAAGCCCAGAGAGGGUGUAAGGCCGUAAGACGCUCCGACUUGAUUCCUGGGGUUUACCUACGAGUCGGCUUGUUUUGGGAAUGCAGGCCAAAGCGGGUGGUAAACUCAUCCAAGGCUAAAUAACUGGCACGAGUCCGAUAGCGGACAAGUACCGUGAGGGAAAGUUGAAAAGAACUUUGAAGAGAGAGUUCAAUAGUACGUGAAACCGCUUAGAGCAGGAACGGAUGGUGCUCAUACUGGCCUGAGGAAUUCAACUGUGACGGUGGCUGGACGAGCUGGCGUUCCGAUCUCUCUUUUGGGACGGGCGUCGGUUUGGCUAUCAGCUCGACAUGGUGCACUUUCCUUGGUGCCUCCGCCACGACCGACGACACUGGCUACCCGCGCUGGGUAAGGUGACAAACUGCUUUCGGCAAUUUGUGUUAUAGACCCCGGCGGUCGGACAUGGUUUUGGCCAGGACGUCGAGCUUGGCGGCGCCCGCUCCUUGUGGGCUCGCAUGUUUGGCUAGCUUGGCUGGCGGCCGAUGCUUGCACUGGACAACCAGUACUACAGGUGACGGUUGUGGUCUCUCUUAGUUGGCCUCUGCGAGUUUGGCGCCUAUAGUCUGUGGUGUACUUGUGGGGUAAGACUAUCCGACCGCCGUCUUGAAACACGGACAAGGAGUCCUAACAUGUGCGCGAGUCAUGGGGAUUUCUACGAAAUCCCAAAGGCGCAGUGAAAGUAAAGGCCUGCUUCUCGUAGGCUGAGUGUGGGAUCUCGUGCAUCGCGAAUUGGCGAGCGCCCCACCCGGCCCGUCCUAUCUGUCUCUGUCAGUGGGGCGGCGCAAGAGCGUACACGUUGGGACCGAAGAUGUGAAACUAUGCUUGCGCAGCUCGAAGUCAGUGGAAACACUGAUGGAGGGAGCGCAGCGUUUCUGACGUGCAAAUCGAUCGUCAAAACGUGAGUAUAGGGGCGAAAGACUAAUCGAACCAUCUAGUAGCUGGUUCCCUCCGAAGUUUCCCUCAGGAUAGCUGGCACUCGGGAAACAGUUUUAUCCGGUAAAGCGAAUGAUUAGAGGCAUUGGGGUCGAAACGACCUCGACCUAUUCUCAAACUUUAAAUGGUAAGAUGCUCGUCUCGCUUAAUUGGAGGCGGGCUUCUUCACCUCUCUAUUAAACGGAAUGUGAGUGCCCAGUGGGCCAUUUUUGGUAAGCAGAACUGGCGCUGUGGGAUGAACCAAACGCGCGGUUAAGGCGCCCCAAUGCGGAGCUCAAUGAGACACCAAAAAGUGUUGUCGGAUUACUGACAGCAGGACGGUGCCAUACGGAAGUCGGAAGCCCGCUAAGGAGUGUGUAACAACUCACCUGCCGAAUCAACCAGCCCUGAAAUGGAUGGCGCUGGAGCGUCGGGCCUAUACCGUUGCCGUUGGGGCGAAGCAGACAAAUAAUCUGUGUGGAUGUCCCAACGAGUAGGAGGGUCGCCGUGGUGAGCGCAGAAGUGCGGCGUGAGGGCCGGCUGGAGCCGCCACGGGCGCAGAUCUUGGUGUAGUUAGCAAUUACUCAAGUGAGAAACCUUGAGGACUGAAGUGGAGAAAAGGGUCCAUGUGAACAGCAGUUGAACAUGGGUCAGGCGGUCCUAAGCGAUCGGGUAACUCCGUAACUAAGACGAGGGUGACAACUAUGCACUUGAAUAAAUUACUGUUGACGUGUUAUAAGCCUCUCCGAGGCGAAAGGGAAAUCGUGUUAAUAUUCACGACCCUUAACCGUGGAGAUCGCUUCCUUUUCGGGGGGCAAGUGCGGUAACGCAAACGAACACAGAGACGUUCGGCUGGAAGCCCGGGAAGAGUUCUCUCUUUUCUUUGUAAGGAGGCGUACCCCCUGGAAUCGGCUUGUCCGGAGAUAGGGCGUGGCUUCUCGUAAAGCGCAGCGCGGUCUUGGUCGCUCAUCGUACGUGCCUCUAGUUUCGGCCCUUGGAAAGAUACUGUGGGAGACAUGUUGUGAUUUUCACGCGUAGGCACCGUACAUCCAUAUCCGCAGCAGGUCUCAAAGGUGAACAGCCUCUAGUCCUAGACAAUGUAGGGUAAGGAAGUCGGCAAAAUGGAAUUUUUUUUUUCCCCCCGUAACUUCGGCGAAAAGCGCAUUGGCUCUGAGGGCUGGUUCGGAUGGGCUGGCGUAAGGAAGCUGUUCCGGUUUUGGUGAGGUGACUGGGUGAGGCUUUCGCGGCUUUACUCGGACCAUAGCGAGACCAGGCAGUAGACGACGUCAGCUGUGCUUGUCGUGUUUCGGCGCGGGCAGCUUCGUCCGGCAACAAACAGCCAACUCAGAACUGGCACGGGGGGAACUAGGGGAAUCCGACUGUCUAAUAAUAAAAACAAAGCAUUGCGAAUGGCUGUUGCCUCGGUGUUGACGCAAUGUGAUUUCUGCCACAGUGCUUCUGAAUGUCAAAGUGAAGAAAUUUU